AGAGUUUGAUUAUGGCUCAGGAUGAACGCUGGCGGCGUGCUUAACACAUGCAAGUCGAACGGAGUUUUAACGGAAGUUUCGGAUGGAAGUUUAAAACUAGUGGCGGACGGGUGAGUAACGCGUGGGUAACCUGCCUCAUACAGGGGGAUAACAGUUAGAAAUGACUGCUAACACCGCAUAAUAUAGCGAAACCGCAUGAUUUUGCUAUCAAAUAUUUAUAGGUAUGAGAUGGGCCCGCGUCUGAUUAGCUAGUUGGUGGGGUAAAAGCCUACCAAGGCGACGAUCAGUAGCCGGCUUGAGAGAGUGACCGGCCACAUUGGGACUGAGACACGGCCCAAACUCCUACGGGAGGCAGCAGUGGGGAAUAUUGGACAAUGGGGGAAACCCUGAUCCAGCGAACCGCCGCGUGAGUGAAGAAGUAUUUCGGUAUGUAAAGCUCUAUCAGCAGGGAAGAUAAUGACAGUACCUGACUAAGAAGCCCCGGCUAACUACGUGCCAGCAGCCGC
RNAcentral lists this ribosomal RNA (506 nucleotides) under uncultured bacterium. RNAcentral describes it as "bacterial SSU rRNA". It matches the Rfam family "Bacterial small subunit ribosomal RNA", at positions 8 to 518 of the family's 1533-position model. The record is from RNAcentral.